This is a non-coding RNA of Cordylochernes scorpioides, 73 nucleotides long. NCBI's taxonomy places the organism in Eukaryota, Metazoa, Arthropoda, Arachnida, Pseudoscorpiones, Chernetidae. The record is from the annotation of a GenBank genome assembly.
AGAGGAGAAGAAAGAAGAGUCAGAGGACGAGUCAGAGGAUGACAUGGGCUUCGGACUCUUCGACUAAUUUUUU